Molecule: small nucleolar RNA, 131 nt
Filed under: Chinchilla lanigera (long-tailed chinchilla)
Lineage: Eukaryota; Metazoa; Chordata; Mammalia; Rodentia; Chinchillidae
Source: RNAcentral
GGCCUCUUGCCCCUGGUGUUGCUGGGGAUCCCAUUGCUCCUCAGCCAGGGCUAGAGGCCAAGAUCAGCCCUGGAGGGGCAUUGUCAGUGCUGCUGCAAGCAGGCAGCCUUGUUUCCCUGCCUCAGACACAU